GUCCCUAUAGCUCAAUGGAUAGAGCGACAGCCUUCUAAGCUGUAUAUGUAGGUUCGAUUCCUGCUAGGGACGCAA
This 75-nucleotide transfer RNA is filed under the name Parcubacteria group bacterium CG1_02_40_82. RNAcentral's name for it is "tRNA-Arg". It matches the Rfam family "tRNA". Rfam says of the family: Transfer RNA (tRNA) molecules are approximately 80 nucleotides in length. Their secondary structure includes four short double-helical elements and three loops (D, anti-codon, and T loops). Further hydrogen bonds mediate the characteristic L-shaped molecular structure. tRNAs have two regions of fundamental functional importance: the anti-codon, which is responsible for specific mRNA codon recognition, and the 3' end, to which the tRNAs corresponding amino acid is attached (by aminoacyl-tRNA synthetases). tRNAs cope with the degeneracy of the genetic code in two manners: having more than one tRNA (with a specific anti-codon) for a particular amino acid; and 'wobble' base-pairing, i.e. permitting non-standard base-pairing at the 3rd anti-codon position. The record is from RNAcentral. RNAcentral also lists the same sequence under 5 other names.